Molecule: long non-coding RNA, 2791 nt
Filed under: Homo sapiens (human)
Lineage: Eukaryota; Metazoa; Chordata; Mammalia; Primates; Hominidae
Description: colitis associated IRF1 antisense regulator of intestinal homeostasis
Source: RNAcentral
GAGGAAAAUGAAAGCGGUCGUGGCCAGGACUGGCGCAGCUGCCGUUUCAGGCGAGGGGCGCAGAAUGCAGCGGCCGCCAGCCUGGAGCGCGGGCCCUGGGGCCGCAACCCGCGCCGGGCGAGGUGGCAGCACACCCUGGGCCCCCCACUCCCCGCCGCAAGUCCUGAGGAUGGCCAGCAGAGAAACAAGAAAAUGGACUCCCUGGCUGCUGGAGAGUUGAAUGCCAGCCACCAGCCAUGGGUGCCAGAGUUUGUAGCCUAUUGGAGGAAAACACACCAAGGAAGCCCUUCACAGGACCCAGACAGUCAAGCAGGCAGGCCAGGCCCCAGGAGCACCAACCUUCAGAGGUGGAGGGCAUGGGUGACACCUGGAAGUUGUACAGAUCACUGGUGCUGUCCGGCACAACUUCCACUGGGAUGUGCCAGUCGGGGAGAGUGCUGCUGACAGCACAUGGCGACAGUGCUGGGGAACAGCAGAAGCCACAGGUCAAGGUUGUGUGCUUUCUUAGUUUGCAAGACAUCGAGCGCCCUCCGACCAACCCUGCAGCCUGCACUAAUGGGCCACCAUGUGCCAGCACCAUGCCUCCAAGAGAAAGAGUCAUCCCACUGACCUGUGGGGUCUCCUGCCAGACCUGGACCAGCUCACCUGGAGUCAGGGCCUGCUCCACCUCCAAGUCCUGCAUGUAGCCUGGAACUGUGUAGCUGCUGUGGUCAUCAGGCAGAGUGGAGCUGCUGAGUCCAUCAGAGAAGGUAUCAGGGCUGGAAUCCCCACAUGACUGUCGAGGGAGAAAGCAGCUUAGGCCCAGGCCCACCUUAGCAUUUCUUCCACUGCUCACCCUGGCCCACAGGUGACCAAAGGCCUGGCUGCUUAGGACCACACUCACCUUCCUCUUGGCCUUGCUCUUAGCAUCUCGGCUGGACUUCGACUUUCUUUCUGUGGGGCAGACGGGCUGUCAGCCUUGGUGCAGGCUCUCCAGCCCCAGCUGACCUCCUUCUACCCUCCCUCCCUGAGGGCUUCCCAAGGACCCAGAGUCCUUGGAUACCUUUUCUCUGGUUCUUGGUGAGAGGUGGAAGCAUCCGGUACACUCGCACAGCUGAGCUGCCCUUGUUCCUGCUCUGGUCUUUCACCUCCUCGAUAUCUGGCAGGGAGUUCAUGGCACAGCGAAAGUUGGCCUUCCACGUCUUGGGAUCUGGCUCCUUUUCCCCUGCUUUGUAUCGGCCUAGAGGGCAGGAGAAAAAAGAGGAUCGUCAGGGCCAUGGGUAGGGAUCCUCAGCUGCCCCUGGCCUGAAGGAGGAAGGCAAGGUACCCCUGACCUCUUAUGCUACCAGAGAGCCACAGUGGUCAAACCAGCAGGUACUCCCGGUGACACUCUGCAGGUCCUAGGCCCUGGGCCUUCUCAAAUGCCCAGGCUUGGCUUAAACACAUCUAGCGGGCCUCAGUGAAGGGCCCAGCCAGAAGCACUAGAGUCCCCAUAUCCCCAAAGUGUACUAUCUGUGUCUCAGACUAUGCCCAGUCUUCCUCCUUGGGCUAUCAGCAGCCAGAGGGUAGAGUGGGCACAGACUGGGCAGCAGAGAACAGUUACUAAAUGGGUGGGCUGACUGUUCUGAGAUGGGCCUAGAGCUCCAUCUCUCAAGGAUAAAGGAGGCCACCAACCACAUGAGGCUUGGACCAAGGGCCUUGGUCAACACGAAGAAAAAGGCAGACCUGGGUCUCUUUCAGUGCCCUGGCUUACAGCUGCUUUUCACAGAUGCUUUUGCCAGGGAGAACUUUCAUCUAGCCACAAACCCCCUGAAGCCACACACUUUCUAAGAUCUUGGCUUUUCCCUUUGAGAAUUUGCUGAGAUGAUCGACUCUCUUCUCCAGAAACACAAGUCUGCCACCAGCCCCUCUUCCCAGUAAUUCUGCAUGUUGUCUCAGGGAGCUCAGGGACCCCAGUGAAGAGCCUCUGUGUUAACGUGAGUGCCUCCUCUUGUCUCUACCCUGGGCUUCCUAGGCCUGAGUCCCAGGCACACACCUGUGUGAAUGGCCCAGCUCCGGAACAAACAGGCAUCCUUGUUGAUGUCCCAGCCAUGCUUGGCAGCAUGCUUCCAUGGGAUCUGGAAGAUCAUCUCCUCCUGAACAAUACACACAUACACAUAAGGCUGUGUCAGGUCAGAGACCACAGACUUUGGGGCUGAGUCUGAGACCCAGGCCUGCCCAGCCAGACAGGUCUGAGAAAAGGCUGACUUCCCCUUUUUUCCCCUGACAUCUGGCUUGGACACCCAUCUUGAGGCUGGCUUAAACAGACCACUCUGGAUCUCUCAGGAGGGACACCUAGUUUGGAUGAGCUGCAGCAUUAUUAGCUCACAAAGACCUCCCUCUGCCUGUUACACAUGUGCUAGGACCCACACAGGGCACCCUCCCCCAAAGCCCUGGUUUUGAAGCUCUGGGAUGUUUCUCUCUGGCUUGUAAGCACCCACAUGGAAGUAAGAACUUCUUCCAUUAGAAAGGACUCCUCAGGACACCUGGGAGCAUGGGCUCUUACACAGGGGGUCCUGGUCAUACCACUGAGGGAGCUCUGGGCUAGACUUGGAUGGUGAACACUGUGUAACCCUGGCAUUGUCACUGUAUCUCUUUGCCCCUCAGUUUUCUCUUCUCGGAAAUGAGAAAACAUAUCCAACAAAAUUUUGAGGAUUAAAAACCAGAGGAUGUGUAGGGACACAGUGACAAAUAUGAAGUCUAAGGUCUUACUGUUAUUAUAUCACUUAUGGUUAACAGUAAAGAUUUCUGAGUCAGACCGUUCAAGUUCAAA